GACGAACGCUGGCGGCGUGCCUAACACAUGCAAGUCGAGCGAGUGAAUCUCCUUCGGGAGUGAAGCUAGCGGCGGACGGGUGAGUAACACGUGGGCAACCUGCCUCAUAGAGGGGAAUAGCCUUUCGAAAGGAAGAUUAAUACCGCAUAAGAUUGUAGCUUCGCAUGAAGUAGCAAUUAGAGGAGCAAUCCGCUAUGAGAUGGGCCCGCGGCGCAUUAGCUAGUUGGUGAGGUAACGGCUCACCAAGGCGACGAUGCGUAGCCGACCUGAGAGGGUGAUCGGACACAUUGGGACUAAGACACGGCCCAGACUCCUACGGGAGGCAGCAGUGGGGAAUAUUGCACAAUGGGGGAAACCCUGAUGCAGCAACGCCGCGUGAGUGAUGACGGCCUUCGGGUUGUAAAGCUCUGUCUUCAGGGACGAUAAUGACGGUACCUGAGGAGGAAGCCACGGCUAACUACGUGCCAUCCGCCGCGGUAA
Molecule: ribosomal RNA, 480 nt
Filed under: uncultured bacterium
Lineage: Bacteria
Description: partial 16S ribosomal RNA
Rfam family: Bacterial small subunit ribosomal RNA
Source: RNAcentral